This 164-nucleotide ribosomal RNA is filed under the name uncultured bacterium. Its description in RNAcentral is "partial 16S rRNA". It matches the Rfam family "Bacterial small subunit ribosomal RNA", at positions 355 to 511 of the family's 1533-position model. The record is from RNAcentral.
UAGGGAAUCUUCGGCAAUGGACGCAAGUCUGAUGGAGCAACGCCGCGUGAGUGAAGAAGGUCUUCGGAUCGUAAAACUCUGUUGUUAGAGAAGAACACGAGUGAGAGUAACUGUUCAUUCGAUGACGGUAUCUAACCAGCAAGUCACGGCUAACUACGUGCCAG